GACGAACCGUGCGAACGUUGUUCGGAAUCACUGGGCUUAAAGGGCGCGUAGGCGGAGGGUCCAGUCGGUGGUGAAAUCCUUCAGCUUAACUGGAGACGUGCCGCCGAUACUGACUCUCUCGAGGGAGGUAGGGGCAUGUGGAACUCAGGGUGGAGCGGUGAAAUGCGUAGAUAUCCUGAGGAACGCCGGUGGCGAAAGCGACGUGCUGGACCUCUUCUGACGCUGAGGCGCGAAAGCCAGGGGAGCAAACGGG
This 253-nucleotide ribosomal RNA is filed under the name uncultured bacterium. RNAcentral describes it as "partial 16S ribosomal RNA". It matches the Rfam family "Bacterial small subunit ribosomal RNA", at positions 524 to 776 of the family's 1533-position model. The record is from RNAcentral.